UAUCUUUUAUCGCUUAAUUCGUAAGAAGCGGGGGAACCACUUUUGUGGCCAGUAUUGCCACUUGGGGUGAAUCCUUUUUUGAAGGUAGGGUUACUCUCAUACCCGAAUCCGACAGCUAACCUCGUAAGCGUUCUGGGAGAGGAGUG
This 146-nucleotide small RNA is filed under the name Heyndrickxia sporothermodurans. RNAcentral describes it as "Bacillus sporothermodurans c-di-AMP sequence". It matches the Rfam family "c-di-AMP riboswitch aptamer (ydaO/yuaA leader)". From Rfam's summary of the family: This family represents a conserved RNA structure found upstream of the ydaO and yuaA genes in Bacillus subtilis and related genes in other bacteria. The ydaO/yuaA element is thought to act as a genetic "off" switch for the ydaO and yuaA genes in its native state. The record is from Rfam by way of RNAcentral. Lineage: Bacteria; Bacillati; Bacillota; Bacilli; Caryophanales; Bacillaceae.